AAGACAAACUGAAAUCUGAGUGCAGAGACGGGAAUAAGUGCUGUACAGUGACGACAGACAAGAGGAUAAGAAUGGACACUCAUAUGUCAAGCUUGAUGAGGAUAUUGUCAAAAGAUCCUGUGAUAAAGAAGUCUUCAAAUACUACAGUGUCUGAAUUGCAAGCCCUUAGUUGCAGAACAUGCAAGUCGUACUCACAGAAGUGACCUCGUCCCACCGGCUCCCCCUUGGUCAGUCGUCACUCUACUUCUGCC
Molecule: long non-coding RNA, 251 nt
Organism: Onychostoma macrolepis
Lineage: Eukaryota; Metazoa; Chordata; Actinopteri; Cypriniformes; Cyprinidae
Exons: 3
Source: RefSeq, a predicted model, not a curated record